This 506-nucleotide ribosomal RNA is filed under the name uncultured bacterium. RNAcentral describes it as "partial 16S ribosomal RNA". It matches the Rfam family "Bacterial small subunit ribosomal RNA", at positions 30 to 523 of the family's 1533-position model. The record is from RNAcentral.
AUUGAACGCUGGCGGCAGGCCUAACACAUGCAAGUCGAGCGGUAGCACAGAAGAGCUUGCUCUUUGGGUGACGAGCGGCGGACGGGUGAGUAAUGUCUGGGAAACUGCCUGAUGGAGGGGGAUAACUACUGGAAACGGUAGCUAAUACCGCAUAACCUCGCAAGAGCAAAGAGGGGGACCUUCGGGCCUCUCGCCAUCAGAUGUGCCCAGAUGGGAUUAGCUAGUAGGUGAGGUAAUGGCUCACCUAGGCGACGAUCCCUAGCUGGUCUGAGGGGAUGACCCGCCACACUGGAACGUGGACACGGUCCAGACGCCUACGGGAGGCAGCAGUGGGGAAUAUUGCACAAUGGGCGCAAGCCUGAUGCAGCCAUGCCGCGUGUGUGAAGAAGGCCUUCGGGUUGUAAAGCACUUUCAGCGGGGAGGAAGGCGGUAAGGUUAAUAACCUUAUCGAUUGACGUUACCCGCAGAAGAAGCACCGGCUAACUCCGUGCCAGCCGCCGCAGUAA